This 180-nucleotide ribosomal RNA is filed under the name uncultured bacterium. RNAcentral's name for it is "partial 16S ribosomal RNA". It matches the Rfam family "Bacterial small subunit ribosomal RNA", at positions 1321 to 1500 of the family's 1533-position model. The record is from RNAcentral.
UGAAGUCGGAGUUGCUAGUAAUCGCGGAUCAGCAUGCCGCGGUGAAUACGUUCCCGGGCCUUGUACACACCGCCCGUCACACCAUGGGAGUUGGGAGCACCCGAAGCCGGUGAGGUAACCGAAAGGAGCCAGCCGUCGAAGGUGAGACCAAUGACUGGGGUGAAGUCGUAACAAGGUAAC